CAUGGAGGGUGAGAAUCCCGUCCGGUUGAUCAUUGUGCUCUACGAUACGCUUUCAAAGAGUCAAGUUGUUUGGGAUUGCAGCUUAAAAUGGGAGGUAAAUUUCUCCUAAGGCUAAAUAACGGCGAGUGACCGAUAGCGAACAAGUACCGUGAGGGAAAGAUGAAAAGAACUUUGAAAAGAGAGUUAAACAGUACGUGAAAUUGUUGAAAGGGAAACGAUUGAAGCCAGUCGUACCUUCGGGUAAUCAGCCUUUCGGGUGCGAUUCUGUGGGAUGUGAGGAGUUAAACGCAUUCAUGUUUUGCAUAUUCGUGCUCUUGGGUGUACUUGCCCGUGUGGUUGGUUAACAUCAAUUUUGGACGCCAUAAAAUGACUGGAGGAAUGUAGCUUCGAUCUCGUAUUGAAGUGUUAUAGCCUUCGGUAGAUGUGACGAUCGGGAUUGAGGAUUGCAACGGAUACCCUUCGGGGCUACCUGUCUGAUCUCUGAGAGUUGCCCUGGUGUUGAAAGCUUGCUUAUGGUAUCAAAGUUGACGUUCAAUAGGUUAGAACGGGAUAAGUUCGUUAAGGAUGUUGACGUAAUGG
Molecule: ribosomal RNA, 579 nt
Filed under: uncultured Glomeromycotina
Lineage: Eukaryota; Fungi; Glomeromycota
Description: LSU rRNA
Rfam family: Eukaryotic large subunit ribosomal RNA
Source: RNAcentral